UAGGUUGCGAGUCGGUGACGGCGAGCUAAUCUCUUAAAGCCGAUCUCAGUUCGGAUUGUAGGCUGCAACUCGCCUACAUGAAGUCGGAAUCGCUAGUAAUCGCGGAUCAGCACGCCGCGGUGAAUACGUUCCCGGGCCUU
RNAcentral lists this ribosomal RNA (140 nucleotides) under uncultured Streptococcus sp. RNAcentral's name for it is "partial 16S ribosomal RNA". It matches the Rfam family "Bacterial small subunit ribosomal RNA", at positions 1243 to 1382 of the family's 1533-position model. The record is from RNAcentral. Lineage: Bacteria; Bacillati; Bacillota; Bacilli; Lactobacillales; Streptococcaceae.